RNAcentral lists this non-coding RNA (173 nucleotides) under Clostridium sp. RNAcentral describes it as "6S RNA". It matches the Rfam family "6S / SsrS RNA". From Rfam's summary of the family: E. coli 6S RNA was the first non coding RNA to be sequenced, but its function was unknown until recently. RNAcentral also lists the same sequence under 2 other names. Lineage: Bacteria; Bacillati; Bacillota; Clostridia; Eubacteriales; Clostridiaceae. The record is from RNAcentral.
GUAUUUCUGCGGUGUUCGUUAACCCAAAUAAUUCAACCGACAUAGAAAACACGGGAGUUCGAGUUCAGCAGUGUAGAACAGGCCUUAAAUGGAAGUUCAAAGCUGUUGACAGGGCACCCACCUUGUAAGAGGCGGGUGUGAAUUAAUUGGGAGAACGGCACUGCGGUAAUAGA